GUGAGGAAUUUUGCGCAAUGGGGGCAACCCUGACGCAGCGACGCCGCGUGGAGGACGAAGUCUUUCGGGAUGUAAACUCCUGUCAGUGGGGACGAUAAUGACGGUACCCACAGAGGAAGCACCGGCUAACUCCGUGCCAGCAGCCGCGGUAAGACGGAGGGUGCAAGCGUUGUUCGAAAUUACUGGGCGUAAAGCGUAUGUAGGCGGCAAGUUAAGUUCAAUGUUAAAGCCCACGGCUCAACCGAGGAGAUGCAUUGAAUACUGGCUAGCUAGAGGGUGUUAGAGGAAGACGGAAUUCCCAGUGUAGCGGUGAAAUGCGUAGAUAUUGGGAGGAACAUCGGUAGCGAAAGCGGUCUUCUGGGACAUACCUGACGCUGAGGUACGAAAGCGUGGGGAGCAAACGGGAUUAGAUACCCGUGUAGUCC
RNAcentral lists this ribosomal RNA (425 nucleotides) under uncultured bacterium. RNAcentral's name for it is "partial 16S ribosomal RNA". It matches the Rfam family "Bacterial small subunit ribosomal RNA", at positions 354 to 796 of the family's 1533-position model. The record is from RNAcentral.